Molecule: ribosomal RNA, 261 nt
Filed under: uncultured prokaryote
Description: partial 16S ribosomal RNA
Rfam family: Bacterial small subunit ribosomal RNA
Source: RNAcentral
UACGUAGGUGACAAGCGUUGUCCGGAAUUAUUGGGCGUAAAGAGCUUGUAGGCGGUUUGUCGCGUCUGCUGUGAAAAUCCGGGGCUCAACCCCGGACUUGCAGUGGGUACGGGCAGACUAGAGUGUGGUAGGGGAGACUGGAGUUCCUGGUGUAGCGGUGAAAUGCGCAGAUAUCAGGAGGAACACCGAUGGCGAAGGCAGGUCUCUGGGCCACUACUGACGCUGAGAAGCGAAAGCAUGGGGAGCGAACAGGAUUAGAUA